This 462-nucleotide ribosomal RNA is filed under the name uncultured Ascomycota. RNAcentral describes it as "eukaryotic LSU rRNA". The stretch from base 122 to 273 matches the Rfam family "5.8S ribosomal RNA". Lineage: Eukaryota; Fungi; Ascomycota. The record is from RNAcentral.
CAUUAACGAAUGUCUUUUUGACACAAACACCUGUGAACUAAAUUCUUGCUUCGGUCGACGAAAGUCGGCCGGUAUCAAAACCGAAUCAAUUUUGUUGUCUGACUGAAGAUUAAUAAAUCAAAACUUUCAACAACGGAUCUCUUGGUUCUCGCAUCGAUGAAGAACGCAGCGAAUUGCGAUAAGUAAUGUGAAUUGCAGAAUUGUGAAUCAUCGAAUCUUUGAACGCACAUUGCGCCCUUGGGCAUUCCCAAGGGCAUACCUGUUUGAGCGUCAUUUCACUCUUAAACCUCUGGUUUAGUGUUGUCUCGUUCUCUUUUAGAGAUGAGGUGAAAUGAAUUGGCACAGAUUUCUAGUGACUUAAACAACGUAAUAGGUUUUCCCAAUUCGUUGGCCAUAGAAGCUAGAUACGUCUGGGCGUACAAACUACUUUUAAGUUUGACCUCAAAUCAGGCAAGACUACCC